Molecule: transfer RNA, 75 nt
Filed under: Sphaerodactylus townsendi
Lineage: Eukaryota; Metazoa; Chordata; Lepidosauria; Squamata; Sphaerodactylidae
Description: tRNA-Ala
Source: RNAcentral
UGGAUUGUAGCUCAGUGGUAGUGUACCUGACUUGCAUGCAGAAGAUCCCAAGUUCAAUCCCAGGCAUAUCAUCAA